AUGGCUCUGCUCGUCGUGCUUUCCCUCUUCACCUUUUUCUGCUCCAACCGACGGCGAGUGGCGCAGAGCUCGUCGCAGCAGGGCGUGGUCGACAUCGAGCUCGGGGACGGCAGGUGCGCUGCCGCCGCCGCGGGGCUCGACGAGGCCGUCAUGGCCGCGUGCCCGACGACGGUGUACUCCACGGCAAAGGAGGAGGAGCGCGGGUGCGCGGUGUGCCUGGCGGAGUACGCAGACGGCGACGAGCUGCGGGUGCUCCCCGGCUGCGCGCACGUGUUCCAUCGGCGGUGCGUCGACCAGUGGCUCCGGCGGCGGCCCAGCUGCCCGCUGUGCCGCACGUCGCCGCAGAGCACCACCAGUGCAUGCUAA
Molecule: ribosomal RNA, 366 nt
Filed under: Triticum aestivum (bread wheat)
Lineage: Eukaryota; Viridiplantae; Streptophyta; Magnoliopsida; Poales; Poaceae
Description: partial small subunit ribosomal RNA
Source: RNAcentral